CCCAGUUUUCCCUUUCUGCUCCCCCUGCAUGUUGUUUUCUUCAAGGUCUUGCCAGCCUUCAGACCUAUGUGCCCCUCAUUUUGCCUUCCUCAUCUUCUUUUCCUUUUCCUACUCAUCUGUCUCCUGCAAACCCUGCAGACUUUGUUGACCCCCAUCCACUCCACUUUUUAAUCUGUUGUCUUCUUACACAGUGCUUGGAUGAUGUGUUGCUCUUCAGUUUUGGCUGCUUCUCAGUCUGAAGUAUUCCAGAAUCCUGGAAGUGUGGCUCUGGGCAAAAGGGCGUGAUCCAGCAUGCCAAUCACUUUGAGGAGACCUUUCUGGGACUGGAGGGGCCAUGGAUAUUGGUAUGGCUGCUGCUCAUGGAUGAGCAAGAUAUAUAAAACAGGAUUCUUUGACAGAAAAGUCAAGCCAAGCUGGCUUGGCAAAACAAAUGAAUUUCCUUCAGAUGAGAGGAGUUGCACUGAAGUCCUAGUUCAUAAGAUACACUGUGCCCUGAUUGCAGAGCUGCAUUUAUUGACACAGAUGCAAAACUUUCCGGCUGGAGGAGUUGCUACUUGUAAAGGCAUGGGUUAGGUGUUUGGCCUUCCUCAAGUCCCUCAAUAGACAGUGGAGAGAUAAGGGCUCCUGCUUGGCGUCUCCAAAAGUGGUAAAGCUUCCUUUCUGGUUCUUGAAAUCUCUGAGAGCAACACAGUGGGCCUUACUGAAAAUAUUAACACAGAAUGUGCUGAAAUAAGUGGGAUAUGGCGCGUAUACCAAAACAGGUCCUAUUUUUCGAUUUCCUCUCUUCAGAAAAAAACCCCACAUAAUGCAGUUCUAGCCAAGCUACUAAGAAAAAAAUGAUAUAUCUAUUCUUACAGUGCGUUUAAGUUACAGCAACAACAUGGGAAAACUGUCAAUAAAAGCAAUAGACUGAGUGAGUAUGAGUUACCAUGUAUGAUCAUAUAGGAGUGAAAAUGGGACCAGUUCAGGAAAGAUGUGGUAUAACACCAUCUCCAUUUUUCUCUUGAACAAUUGCCGUCUUCUGCUGCCCUCAGUGAUUCCCAGGUUACUCAUGGCUCUUCUGCUUUGCACAGACUAUGAAAUUUUCUCUCAGCGGCUUGUGUUAGUUUAGCAAUCUUUCCUGAAAAGCACUGCAGUCAGAGCUUCUCCCUUGCUAGUUUCCAAGCGAGAGCAUGGCUUUCUGAAAGUCUGGCUGUUUAUGAAACAGUUAAACUGUGGGGCUGGUUUUUAUUUUCACGCUCUUGCAAACUCCAUCUCUUUCUGUCUCCCUGUGGCCACAUUUAGCUUCUCCCAGCUUUUUCUUAUUUGCUGGUGCAGUAGAACAGGACCUGCUGCUCCGUAACAAGCCACUCCUGCAUCUGCUCCAGCGUACUCUCUGAGACAGUGGGAAGUGCUGGAUCCGGCAGGGAAAGGCCUGACAAAUACUGGAGCACAACAGUUAAAAAGAAUGUCCUCUGAGGGGAAAACGUUUACUGUUGCCCACCCUCAAAGACUAUGUUGGGCAGCCUAUGAUGGAAGAUAAUGUUCGUUGAAUCACGACUUUUAGUACGUAAUGUAUGCUCUUUUUGCCAUGCACUUUUCCAUUCCCUUUUAAUUCAUGAAACUCUUAGACUUGCUUGCCUCCGAUGGGAAGGAACUGCACCAGGCAGCCAUAUGCUGUGGGAAACGAUUGCUCUCACCCUUUGCCUUUCAUUUUCAUGCUUGUGCAUGAUGCGAAGUGAUGAACAGGACUCGCUUUCUUUGGUGCCGUUCAUUAUUUUGAACACCUGUAUCUUUUCCUUUUGUCUGAGGUGAACAGGUUUGAUUUUACUAUUCCUCUAGAAGCUUUUCAUGCCUCUAAUUAUUUUCGUUGUCAUUUCUGAACUAAUUUCAUUUCUGUUUUGUCCUUCUCAAAGUGUCCA
This is a long non-coding RNA of Cuculus canorus (common cuckoo), 1901 nucleotides long. RefSeq lists it as uncharacterized. The transcript is spliced from 3 exons. The record is from RefSeq and is a predicted model, not a curated record. Lineage: Eukaryota; Metazoa; Chordata; Aves; Cuculiformes; Cuculidae.